This 746-nucleotide ribosomal RNA is filed under the name Citrobacter freundii. RNAcentral describes it as "partial 23S ribosomal RNA". It matches the Rfam family "Bacterial large subunit ribosomal RNA", at positions 228 to 1014 of the family's 2925-position model. Lineage: Bacteria; Pseudomonadati; Pseudomonadota; Gammaproteobacteria; Enterobacterales; Enterobacteriaceae. The record is from RNAcentral.
ACCGAGAUUCCCCCAGUAGCGGCGAGCGAACGGGGAGCAGCCCAGAGUCUGAAUCAGCAUGUGUGUUAGUGGAACGGUCUGGAAAGUCCGGCGAUACAGGGUGAUAGCCCCGUACACAAAAGUGCAUGUGUUGUGAACUCGAAGAGUAGGGCGGGACACGUGGUAUCCUGUCUGAAUAUGGGGGGACCAUCCUCCAAGGCUAAAUACUCCUGACUGACCGAUAGUGAACCAGUACCGUGAGGGAAAGGCGAAAAGAACCCCGGCGAGGGGAGUGAAAAAGAACCUGAAACCGUGUACGUACAAGCAGUGGGAGCCUCUUUAUGGGGUGACUGCGUACCUUUUGUAUAAUGGGUCAGCGACUUAUAUUCUGUAGCAAGGUUAACCGAAUAGGGGAGCCGAAGGGAAACCGAGUCUUAACUGGGCGUUAAGUUGCAGGGUAUAGACCCGAAACCCGGUGAUCUAGCCAUGGGCAGGUUGAAGGUUGGGUAACACUAACUGGAGGACCGAACCGACUAAUGUUGAAAAAUUAGCGGAUGACUUGUGGCUGGGGGUGAAAGGCCAAUCAAACCGGGAGAUAGCUGGUUCUCCCCGAAAGCUAUUUAGGUAGCGCCUCGUGAAUUCAUCUUCGGGGGUAGAGCACUGUUUCGGCUAGGGGGUCAUCCCGACUUACCAACCCGAUGCAAACUGCGAAUACCGAAGAAUGUUAUCACGGGAGACACACGGCGGGUGCUAACGUCCGUCGUGAA